Molecule: long non-coding RNA, 1087 nt
Organism: Homo sapiens (human)
Lineage: Eukaryota; Metazoa; Chordata; Mammalia; Primates; Hominidae
Gene: BTG1-DT
Product: BTG1 divergent transcript
Source: Ensembl
GCUCUGCGCCAGUGCAUCCUUCUCCAAGAGUGCGCUGCCUGGGCCCGCUUGCCCUGGAGUGUAAGUGCUGGUAACUUCAGCAGUCAACGGAGAGAAGAGUGGAAACCUUACUGGAUGCGGACAGGAGAGCCAGUUACUGAAAGCAGAUAUAACGCGGAUCCUGUAAAGAGUGCUUUAGAUGCUAACAUUGAAGAUGCACAACCAUGAGGAUGUAGGAGACUGGAUCCCUGAAUCACUGCUUGGAUGAUAGCAGCAAGCUUCUUUGGCGUUAAACAACUUAGAUAUUCUGAUAAAGCAUCUACUGUUGCCUUAAUUAAGGAGAGAUGGAUAAUAUUUUCUUGGAUGAAAGUGAUAGAGGUGAGGAUGAAGAGAAGUGGUCAGAUUCUACAUACAAUUAUCAGAGAAACAGGAGUUCCUGAGAAUAUGGAUAUGAUGAGAAGUGACUCAGGGGAAGGAUGAUGUCAAGCUGUUGUCAAGCCAAUUGCAUGGAAAGAGAAGAAUUAACGUGUUCUCCCUUCAAAAUGAUGGAUUCCAUGGCUCCACAUUCAUCAUCUGGCUCAUGAUUACCAACUCUUUGCAGUCCAUUGCAGGGUGACCUCGUUAGCACUAUCUGUGCACUUUCUGUGAUAGCGGGCUGCCUGGAGGCCCUGCAUGUGUGGUUCGGGUUAAUGAGGGUCUGAGUCAUCAAGUUAGAAACUCACCUUUCCAGCCAUCAGAUCCAGAAAUGCUAGAAAAAGGCACAGGGCUCAUAAUCAGACAUGCCAUGUUGACGAAAGAGUAAUGUCUCAUCCUGGUGAGAUCGUCCACAGGACCUGUGCUGAAUAAUUGUCAGGCAGCCAUGAGACCACAGUAAGCUCCCAUACUAUCUAGAGGUCAAUUUAUCAUCCAAGAUGGCCUGCUUUGCAGAUUGCUGCAUGCAUACCCUCUGCAGCACCAGGUAGCAGGCAGCAGGAGAGGUAGCCCCACAAUAACACAGCAUGUGUCCCUAGAGCAUCUUCUUAUUGAAAUGGGAGAUUUAAAACCUUUUAAAGAAAACUAAUGGUCCUGUUUGCUGUCUAAGGAUAAAGACGAGUACAUUUUAAUGGUG